RNAcentral lists this ribosomal RNA (1433 nucleotides) under uncultured organism. RNAcentral describes it as "16S ribosomal RNA". It matches the Rfam family "Bacterial small subunit ribosomal RNA". The record is from RNAcentral.
GCUUAACACAUGCAAGUCGAGGGGCAGCAUUCCUGUUUGCUUGCAAACUGGAGAUGGCGACCGGCGCACGGGUGAGUAACACGUAUCCAACCUGCCGAUAACUCGGGGAUAGCCUUUCGAAAGAAAGAUUAAUACCCGAUGGUAUAAUCAGACCGCAUGGUCUUGUUAUUAAAGAAUUUCGGUUAUCGAUGGGGAUGCGUUCCAUUAGGCAGUUGGUGAGGUAACGGCUCACCAAACCUUCGAUGGAUAGGGGUUCUGAGAGGAAGGUCCCCCACAUUGGAACUGAGACACGGUCCAAACUCCUACGGGAGGCAGCAGUGAGGAAUAUUGGUCAAUGGGCGCAGGCCUGAACCAGCCAAGUAGCGUGAAGGAUGACUGCCCUAUGGGUUGUAAACUUCUUUUAUAUGGGAAUAAAGUUUUCCACGUGUGGAAUUUUGUAUGUACCAUAUGAAUAAGGAUCGGCUAACUCCGUGCCAGCAGCCGCGGUAAUACGGAGGAUCCGAGCGUUAUCCGGAUUUAUUGGGUUUAAAGGGAGCGUAGGUGGACAGUUAAGUCAGUUGUGAAAGUUUGCGGCUCAACCGUAAAAUUGCAGUUGAUACUGGCUGUCUUGAGUACAGUAGAGGUGGGCGGAAUUCGUGGUGUAGCGGUGAAAUGCUUAGAUAUCACGAAGAACUCCGAUUGCGAAGGCAGCUCACUGGACUGCAAACUGACACUGAUGCUCGAAAGUGUGGGUAUCAAACAGGAUUAGAUACCCUGGUAGUCCACACAGUAAACGAUGAAUACUCGCUGUUUGCGAUAUACAGUAAGCGGCCAAGCGAAAGCAUUAAGUAUUCCACCUGGGGAGUACGCCGGCAACGGUGAAACUCAAAGGAAUUGACGGGGGCCCGCACAAGCGGAGGAACAUGUGGUUUAAUUCGAUGAUACGCGAGGAACCUUACCCGGGCUUAAAUUGCAUUUGAAUAUAUUGGAAACAGUAUAGUCGUAAGACAAAUGUGAAGGUGCUGCAUGGUUGUCGUCAGCUCGUGCCGUGAGGUGUCGGCUUAAGUGCCAUAACGAGCGCAACCCUUAUCUUUAGUUACUAACAGGUCAUGCUGAGGACUCUAGAGAGACUGCCGUCGUAAGAUGUGAGGAAGGUGGGGAUGACGUCAAAUCAGCACGGCCCUUACGUCCGGGGCUACACACGUGUUACAAUGGGGGGUACAGAAGGCAGCUACCUGGUGACAGGAUGCUAAUCCCAAAAGCCUCUCUCAGUUCGGAUCGAAGUCUGCAACCCGACUUCGUGAAGCUGGAUUCGCUAGUAAUCGCGCAUCAGCCAUGGCGCGGUGAAUACGUUCCCGGGCCUUGUACACACCGCCCGUCAAGCCAUGAAAGCCGGGGGUACCUGAAGUACGUAACCGCAAGGAGCGUCCUAGGGUAAAACUGGUAAUUGGGGC